CUGGCUCAGGAUGAACGCUAGCGGCAGGCUAACACAUGCAAGUCGAGGGGCAGCGGGAUGCAGCAAUACAUGCCGGCGACCGGCGGAUGGGUAGCGUAACGCGUAUGCAACCUACCUUAUACAGGGGAAUAACCUUUCGAAAGGGAGACUAACACCCCAUAGUAUUGAUUUAAGGCAUCUUAGAUUAAUUAAAUAUUUAUAGGUAUAAGAUGGGCAUGCGUAUGAUUAGCUAGUUGGUAAGGUAACGGCUUACCAAGGCGACGAUCAUUAGGGGUUCUGAGAGGAAGGUCCCCCACACUGGUACUGAGACACGGACCAGACUCCUACGGGAGGCAGCAGUGAGGAAUAUUGGUCAAUGGGCGCAAGCCUGAACCAGCCAUGCCGCGUGCAAGGAAGACGGCCUUAUGGGUUGUAAACUGCUUUUACAUAAGACUAACCGUAUAUUUGCGAAUAUACCUGAAUGUAUUAUGAGAAUAAGGAUCGGCUAACUCCGUGCCAGCCGCCGC
This 506-nucleotide ribosomal RNA is filed under the name uncultured bacterium. Its description in RNAcentral is "bacterial SSU rRNA". It matches the Rfam family "Bacterial small subunit ribosomal RNA", at positions 19 to 518 of the family's 1533-position model. The record is from RNAcentral.